UCAUAGUUGAUUGCAGGGAAAUGCAUAAAUUUACUGCAAAAUAUGAAAAUAGGCAAAAUGUGCAAAUGAGGUAAUUUUUUUUAUUGUUUUACUUAUUAUUUACAAGGUAAUAUCAACUUUUUAUAUAAUUCUCUCUUGAAUUUUCUCUUUGUCUCUUUUUAUAAGACUCUCUUAAACUUUCAUAGUUGGGCAUGGUGUUAUUUACGUAAUAAAUGUUUCAUUUUUUUUAUAUACAUCAUUGAGAUAUUUAUUAAGACUCUCUUAAACUUUCAUAGUUGGGCAUGGUGUUAUUUACGUAAUAAAUGUUUCAUUUUUCUAUAUACAUCAUUGAGAUAUUUAUUCCAUAUUUAAAAUGCCAAUAUUUUAUUUAAAUCUCAAGUAUAUGAUAUUUUUUGGUGUCUGAUUUCUUUUUUCUGAGAAUAUUUUGACUAUAAUGAGUAGAAAUAAAUUGACGUGGCCUCUGUGUAAAAUACUGUGUUUGUGAUCAAGAUAAUGUAACAUUCAUCUUUUUUAACAUAAGUUUGUACAUUUCCAUGCAACGUAAAGAGAUCCGACUUCUCCUUGUUCGAAGCAUGUGAUCUCGACCAUCUUGUUGACAUAUUUUCUCAUUGAAUAGAAUUGUUCAACAAAUAUCCCUUCUAGCUCUGCCCAUAUACUAAUGACACUACUCGAUAAAGCUUUAAACUAAUCAUUUGUUCCAUCUAUUAGUGUUAACGAGAACAACCUAAGCUUAUUUUGGUCUUUAAUUAUCCCAGUUGGACAAUGAAGCAAAUAAAUCUCUUUGAACUUGACAAGAUACUAAUAAGGGUCUAUCGUCGACCCUAUUUCAAACUAAGUGUCUCUCAAAUCUGGAAGCACAAAAUUUUUAAUGUCAAAAGAAAAUGGAUUUUCUGGUUGGAGACCAUGAGUAAUCUUCCAUUCAAUUAACCACCACCCCUAUCUCCUAUAGCAUGUCUAGGUGGGCUUGGUUGAGGUGUUCCAUGACCAUACAUAUAUACUCACAACUUUGCUACUUCCUCUAUUUGUUUAGAUAACCGCGCUGCCUUCCGAAGUUCUUUGGCGGUAUUUUCUAUUUAUGGGUCAGACUACAAGUUAUUUGAACCUACAUUUCCCACAAACUAAACAAAAAUAUACCUUAUAGCCCCAUAGCAAUGAUAAAUAAACAAUUAAAAAUUAAUAAAAAUAAAAUUAAAUGGCAACUAAAAACAUGUAAAAUUGCAUAAACAAUCUUGUUAAGAUCAGUCAACAAUUUCCAACAACGACUUCAUUUUGUUGCGUGCGAAAACUUUGCAAUUCUGUAUAGUAUUUAUGUCCCCAAAAAACACAUGAUGAUGGGUAUAAUUUUUAUCGUCUUCGCAGAUAUUAGUAUAAUUUUAACACAACAAAAGGAAAUCAUAUGUAUAUCUAGAAAACUAAAUAACAUACCACAAAUACGAGGAAACACAUAAUGUAUUAAGUGGUUUAUGAAGUUUCAUAUUUCUACUACAUCAAAGGGGGGACUAUGCAUAUCUUUGCUAUAUGGUUUAUUACUUAGCCUUUAAGCUUUAUUUUGGUUUUAGUUUACAACUUUGAUUCUCCUUUUCAAUUGUGCAUUUUUAGAUUGAGUUUUAGUUCAGUAUAUUUUAGCAUGCAUAACUCUUUAUUUUUUAGUGUGAGCAAUAUGCUUUAAGUCACUUCGUCGAUUUUUUGGACCAAGAACCAUAUUUGAGAUUGGUUCAAGUCAUAACAUCAUUGGAAUCUCAAAACAUGUUUAAAAUUGUAAAAAUUAAGAUUUUAGGUGUGUGAUUCGAAUCACACAUCUUGUGAGUCAAGUCAAAUGAACUAGAGGACAUUCAUGAAGUUUGUGACUCGAAUCACAUGUUGUACAUGUCUCAAAUCAUAGAACCCUGUGAGUUAAAUCACAUAUUACUCACGUCUCGAUUCAUGAGGUGAUGAAACUCCAUGAUUUUUCCCUACCUUUUUUUAGUCGAAUCACAUUGUUCAUGACUCAAAUCAUACAUUUUAUCUGGACUCGAAACACGGGUGAAAUCAUAGAAAUGAGUUUUCCAUAUUAGAUCUUGAUUCAAACAACUCUGACAAUUGACUCAAAUCAUACAAGUGCUCAUGACUUGAUUAAUCUUUUGCAAACACUUACAAACAAUUUAUUUCAUCUUCAACGUCAUUCUUUUUUCAUUGUUGCAUGAAUCUGAAUCUCAUCUUUGAAGAUUCAUGAUUAUUGAGGAGAUUCAUGUUUGAAUUUAAUAUUUCUUUGAAGAUUUGAUUAAUAUUUCAGUGGUUCACAAGGUGUAUGGUGUUGUGAAUGGGUUUAACAAUUCCAAUGGAAAAGAAUGAGAUUCUUCUCUCCAGACGAACCUUGGUAGUGUUAUUUGGAAUCCUAUAGGCAUGGUAGGAAUUAUUCUCAAUCUUUGAACAUACCAACACUCAAGAUAUCGAUGGGAUUGAGUAAAGAUUGUUGCAUAAUGAAGACUUAGGAGCAAGUUAGUGGGGCUGAAAGAUUCAAGAAGCGUUUUCAAGUAAAUAUUUCGCAUAAAGUUCAGCUCAUGGAUUGUGUAUAAGUCAAAGAUCCAAAAAGAAUAAUUUUAUUUUUUCAACGUUGAAUUGAAUGUUGUGAUUCAACGAACUCUUGUAAUUUUGUAACAAAUAUUAUUGAACGGUCAAAAAUUUUCAAUGGGCAACUAUUGGAGACUAGAAUAAGCGCAAAGCGAGGAUGAAAUUGUCAAACUAGUAUAAACUCUCUCUCUCCCCCCCUUUUAAUUUUCGUAGAACAUUGCAUGAUUAAAUUGUUCUUUAUUGUUUUCUAGAAAUUGCAUGCCAUUAGGAUUUAUUUUGGCAGAAAUUUAUUAUAAAGGUGUAGAUUUUUUUAGAAUUGAUACUUUGAGUUUCUCUUGUUGUAGAUUAAACUAAAAAACCGUGGUUGUAGAUUCCAUUAAGUGUCAUUGUUGUUAAAUCACACUUAUCUUGUAAUUUAGCAAUUUAUCAAUAUAUUUA
This 2988-nucleotide long non-coding RNA is filed under the name Lathyrus oleraceus (garden pea). RNAcentral's name for it is "Pisum sativum (pea) long non-coding RNA (PSAT_LNC009819)". The record is from RNAcentral. Lineage: Eukaryota; Viridiplantae; Streptophyta; Magnoliopsida; Fabales; Fabaceae.